Molecule: unclassified non-coding RNA, 1682 nt
Filed under: Hevea brasiliensis (rubber tree)
Lineage: Eukaryota; Viridiplantae; Streptophyta; Magnoliopsida; Malpighiales; Euphorbiaceae
Source: RNAcentral
CUUAGAAGAGUAUCCUCAAAUAGCAUAACAGACAAAGGUGCAAGAAAGAGACUGAGUGAUUUCCUCAAAAAAAUAAAAAUAAAAAGAUUGAGUGCCAAAUGGUAAUUCACAUUCUUACACGUUACUCCCACAACUAUUUUGAAUUUAAAUAUUUACCCCAACAAAUAUUCAUCCAUUUAAUUAAAAAUUCCAAACAUAAAAUAAUAAAAAAAUUCCAAAAAAAAAAAAAUCAAUUACCCUUUCGUUUUGCAAAUAAUAACAAUUUUAAGGGUUCUAUUUUUUUCUUUUUUCUGGAAUUUUCUAUCGGUGGGUUUUGCUAAUCUCCCCGCGAUGGGCACCAAGGGGUCAUGUCCAUGGGAUAGCUACCCAAGACCCUCAAGAAAGACGUGAACUCCUGCACCUCCGCCAGCGCGUUCUGUGCCCUAACCUCCGCCAUUGAUGCUUCGAAAUCCACGUAAAACAUGUACUCGAAGUGCUUCGCCGUGCCGACAUUCGCGUCGUCCACCAGCCUGAUUGGGCGGUUCCUGUGCGGCCGCGACUCAAUCUUAGUCAAGUUGAUGUUACGGAAUGCGAACGCAGAUAGCACCUUGAAUAGAACGCUCGUUCCCUUAUCGUGUGCGAACACGAUGCUCGUCUUGAAUGGCCUGUCCGUGCGCGGGAUAAUUGGCUCACGCGCCAACAUCACGAACCUUGUCACGUUGCUUGAGUCGUCCUGGAUUCCGUCGGCCAGUAUUUGCAGUCCGUACAGCUCUGCCGCGCGUGCGCUGGCUAUGGCUGCUGUGUCGCGAAGGUUGUUGGCGGCUAUGUAUUCUGCAGCUCCAGCCGUGUCGUCUACUGCCUCCCGGGCGGCGUGUAGUCCGAGUUUAGUGAGCGUUAGCUCGCAUUGUGCGAGUGCUUGAGGAUGAGAGAUCACUCGAGUAAUGUACUCUUUGCGGACGCCAGGAAGGGCUAAGAGACAGUGGUGCACUGGUAAUUGUACUUCACCGACGAUGUGGAGGCGAUGGCGGAGAAGCAAAUCGUAAUUUCUGUGAAUAGAUCCACCGAGAGAAUUCUCAACUGGUAAAACCGCACGAUCUGAGAUCCAGAGCUCAACCGCCUGAAAAGCCACCUCAAAUUGAUCGCAAGGAAUAGCUUCACAGUUUGGAUAAGCUUUCCCCGCGGCAGCCUCCGAAUAUGCUCCUGGAACUCCCUGAUAAGCCACACGGAGCUGAGAGCCAUGCAUAGGAGCCGGUGACAGAUCCGUAAUAGUUAACGGCUUCAUGGGCUUGUUAUUAUUAGAGUUGCCAUCAUCAUUAGAACCUUUGUUGAGAGGGAUUAAACUAAGUUCCAUAGAGGUCUUAUGACCGUUGACAGCAGCCACAUGGUCAGCGCCGCCGCCGCCGCCACCGGAAUCUCCACCGGAUUGCUCUUGAGAAACGACUUUGCUGGCUAAUAUCGCGCAAGAACUUUGCCAGUCAGCUCGGCUGGAGCCAACGCCGUUAGAGAAAUGGACAGAAUCUGACCGAUGGAUGCAAUGAACAUAAAGCUUGUUGGGGGUGACUCGGGCGAGUCGACGCCCAGUCCGGACUAAAGACUUGAGGGGAGACGAAGGGGAGAUCGCCUGCAUCGUUAAAUUGGUUUGCUUUCGUUGCGCUUAUUCUAAUGAUAGAAAGAAUACAGAGGUUUUUUUUUUUUUUUUUUUU